CCAGUGAACAAUUUAACGGCCGCGGUAUCCUAACCGUGCAAAGGUAGCAUAAUCAUUUGUCUACUAAUUAUAGACCAGCAUGAAAGGCAAAAUGAGGGUUUGACUGUCUCUUAUAAUUAAUCAAUUAAACUGAUCUCCCAGUAAAAAAGCUGGAAUAACCCCAUAAGACCAGAAGACCCUGUGAAGCUUAAACUACACUAUUAAACCCCAUAAUAGCCACUUUUGGUUGGGGCGACCUUGGAAAAAAAAAGAACUUCCAAACACAUGGUAUAUAUAUAUACCACCAAUAGGCCAACAAGCCACACAACGACCCAGCAUAGCUGAUCAUUGAACCAAGUUACUCCAGGGAUAACAGCGCAAUCCUCUUCA
Molecule: ribosomal RNA, 369 nt
Filed under: Philothamnus smithii
Lineage: Eukaryota; Metazoa; Chordata; Lepidosauria; Squamata; Colubridae
Description: partial large subunit ribosomal RNA
Rfam family: Bacterial large subunit ribosomal RNA
Source: RNAcentral